Molecule: ribosomal RNA, 396 nt
Filed under: uncultured bacterium
Lineage: Bacteria
Description: bacterial SSU rRNA
Rfam family: Bacterial small subunit ribosomal RNA
Source: RNAcentral
GGAAUAUUGCACAAUGGGCGCAAGCCUGACCCAGCAACGCCGCGUGAAGGAUGAAGUAUUUCGGUAUGUAAACUUCGAAAGAAUGGGAAGAAUAAAUGACGGUACCAUUUAUAAGCUCCGGCUAACUACGUGCCAACAGCCGCGGUAAUACGUAGGUGGCAAGCGUUGUCCGGAUUUAUUGGGUUUAAAGGGUGCGUAGGCGGCUUUGUAAGUCAGUGGUGAAAUAUGGCAGCUCAACUGUCAGGGUGCCAUUGAUACUGCGGAGCUUGAGUACAGAUGAGGUAGGCGGAAUUGACGGUGUAGCGGUGAAAUGCUUAGAUAUCGUCAAGAACACCGAUAGCGAAGGCAGCUUACUAGGCUGUAACUGACGCUGAGGCACGAAAGUGUGGGGAUCAA